This 652-nucleotide ribosomal RNA is filed under the name uncultured marine eukaryote. RNAcentral's name for it is "SSU rRNA". It matches the Rfam family "Eukaryotic small subunit ribosomal RNA", at positions 613 to 1266 of the family's 1831-position model. The record is from RNAcentral.
UUGCGGUUAAAAAGCUCGUAGUUGGAUCUCGGCAAGUAGAGGGCGGUAUGCUUCGUAGCAUUACUGCCCUAUUACUUGUAGUUUUGCCAGAGGUUCCUGGGUGCUCUUAAUCGAGUGUCUAGGGAUGCUGGCAGGUUUACUUUGAAAAAAUUAGAGUGCUCAAAGCAGGCUAUUACGCUUGAAUAUUCGUGCAUGGAAUAAUAUAAUAGGAAGUUGUUUCUAUUUUGUUGGUUUUCGGAAAUCGACUUAAUGAUUAAUAGGGACAGUCGGGGGCAUUUGUAUUCAAACGACAGAGGUGAAAUUCUUGGACCGUUUGAAGACAAACUACUGCGAAAGCAUUUGCCAAGAAUGUUUUCAUUAAUCAAGAACGAGAGUUAGAGGUUCGAAGGCGAUUAGAUACCGCCCUAGUUCUAACCAUAAACGAUGCCAGCUAGCGAUCUGAGGACGUUUUUUUUGUAGACUCCUCAGGAAGCUUCCGGGAAACCAAAGCGUGUGGGUUCCGGGGGAUGUAUGGUUGCAAAGCUGAUACUUAAAGGAAUUGACGGAAGGGCACCACCAGGAGUGGAGCCUGCGGCUUAAUUUGACUCAACACGGGAAAUCUCACCAUGCCCGGACACUGGAAGGAUUGACAGAUUGAGAGCUCUUUCUCGAU